GCCGGGCACGGUGGCUCACGCCUGUAAUCCCAGCACUUUGGGAGGCUGAGGUGGGUGGAUCACCUGAGGUCAGGAGUUCUAGACCAGCCUGGCCAACAUGGUGAAACCCCAUCUCAA
Gorilla gorilla gorilla (western lowland gorilla) is the source of this 117-nucleotide non-coding RNA. It matches the Rfam family "Metazoan signal recognition particle RNA". From Rfam's summary of the family: The signal recognition particle (SRP) is a universally conserved ribonucleoprotein. It is involved in the co-translational targeting of proteins to membranes. NCBI's taxonomy places the organism in Eukaryota, Metazoa, Chordata, Mammalia, Primates, Hominidae. The record is from Rfam.